UACCACUUUCUUUUGUGUGAGUCGGGGUCUGCAACAAAACCUUCGCUCGCGUUUUUCAGGGUGGAUAUGGCACCCUGGAAGAACUACUUGAAGUGAUCACCUGGGCUCAACUAGGAAUCCACGAUAAACCCGAUUAUUUAGGGAAGAAGGUAACGAUUUGGAGAUUGUAGGAUUGUCCUGUGUUUGAGCUGAGUUGACCCGUCCAGGUUAGUGGGCCAAUGUUUAUUGGGCCCAAAAUUCCUGUAUGAGAACAGAUGAUGCUGAUUCAGCUGUUACUUCCUGCACUUCCUUAAUUUCUUCCUGCCUCUAAUUUGGAAUGUAAAAUUACAUUCCAGAUUAUUCUCUUCAAAAUGUUAAUAAGUGUAAGAAGAAAAUUUUAAGGUGCAGAAAGCAACUGCUUACUGCUUCUUUCUUCGAUACCAUACAUGUCUGGUGGUUGCUACAGGUUGUUUCAUAAUACGUUCCUUGCCCUUAGAAGACCAAUAAGAGAAAAAAAUAACCGGGUUGGUGAGGAUUGUGGCCUUUUUGUUUUGUUUUAUUUUGCUAAACGUGUCCUUACUAAAUAGGCAAUAGCAAGUAUUGAAUGAACAAUAUGUUUAUGUUUCUAAUAAAUUAAAUAUUUUACUCUUAAUUAGUACUUCUCAUUUCAAAUAGAAAGGGAGUUUAACUUAGCUGAGUGUAAAUUAUUGUAGAUUUUUUAAUAUCUGUUUAUAUUCCUACAAAUAAAAAUAAAUAUUUUUCAUUUCAAAUUGUUAAUUAAUAUUAAUUUUACAAAACUAGUUGACAGUUUUUCUUUAUAGGUAUGGGUACUUUCACUUGCAAGUCUCAUGAUAGAAAAGAAAUAAAAAAAUUGGAUCAGUAUUAGAACUAGACAAACAAUUACUCACUUUAUUUCAAAAUAGUUGUCACCUUUAUGCUUUUAGUUUGUCUUAAAUCAUUAUUUUAAAAACCGAAGAAACAUUAAUUACAUUCUGUAACUUCAUCAUUACUUUUUUUUAAUAUACCCACUGAGUGAAACAACAUUUUUAGAAUUAAAAGGUAGUAUUGUCAAGAUAAAGCUAUAUUUUCCUAAUAGAGUAUUUGAUGACUCUUAAAACUAAUGUAAUACUUCCUUUAGUCUUUUAUAUAUAAGUAACAAAUGAGUGUAUUUCCUUUAGACUUAGAUAUAAGUAAAAAAUAAAUAAAAUUUAUUUUGAUCAGCACCUGUUUAUUAGUUUUGCUUCUGAGUGUAGCAUUCAUAUUGAUAUUUGUUUUUCGGAGUGAUGA
Molecule: long non-coding RNA, 1266 nt
Organism: Glycine soja
Lineage: Eukaryota; Viridiplantae; Streptophyta; Magnoliopsida; Fabales; Fabaceae
Exons: 3
Source: RefSeq, a predicted model, not a curated record